Molecule: long non-coding RNA, 2600 nt
Organism: Pezoporus flaviventris
Lineage: Eukaryota; Metazoa; Chordata; Aves; Psittaciformes; Psittacidae
Exons: 3
Source: RefSeq, a predicted model, not a curated record
GGUGUCGAUGUUACUGGCCACGGAUUAAGAACCAUUCUGUAAAACAAACAGAGCAGAGUGAAAGACAUUAAGAAGAAAAAAGUAGAAGUCUUAAUCUCUGUUUUUUUUCAAGUCAGCAUGUGCUCUCCUGAGUUACAACCAACCUGCAUAUUACCUAUUCAAUCUCAAAUUUGCAGUGGGGAGACGAUCAUUGGGGGAGGAAGUUUAACAGACUGGAUAAUUUCUAGUUAUUUCAUUUACAUGAUACAUAAAUUUUACUGCUCAAUAUUUCAAAUAUUGGAAGUACAUUUCUCUUUUUACAUUACCAUGCAGUUAUCUCCAAAUGUACUGUAUUUUGACAUUCAUAUCACAGAAUGGGUUGGGUUGGAAGGGACCUUAAUGAUCAUCUAGUUCCAUCCCCUCUGCCGUCGGCAGGGACAUCUUCCACUAGACCAUGCUGCUCAAAGCCCUAUCCAGCCUGGUCUUGAGCACUUAUAGGGAUGGGGCAGCAACAGUUUCUGUAGGCAAUCCAUUCUAGUGUCUGACCACCCUCACAGUAAAGAAUUUCUUCCUAAUGUCUAAUUAAAUCUACCGUCUUUCAGCUUAAAGCCAUUCCCCAUGCCCUUGUAAAAAGCCCCUCACCAGUUUUCUUGUAGGCCUCCUUUAGGUACUGGAAGGCUGCUCUAAGGUCUCACAUGAACCUUCCCCUCUUCAGGCUGGACAACACAAACUGUCUCAGCCUGUCUCCAUAGGAGAGGUGCCCCAGCCCUGUGAUGAUCUUUGUGGCCCUUCUCUGGACUUGCUUAAGCAGGUCCACAUCCCUCUUGUAUUGGGGGCCCCAGAGCUGGACACAGUACUCCAGGUGGGGUCUCACAAGAGCAGAGUAGAGGGGGAGAAUCACGUCCCUCAACCUGAUGGACAUGCUCUUUUGAUGCAGCCCAGCAUAUGGUUGGCUUUCUGGGCUGCAAAUGCACAUAGCCAGGUUAUGUUGAGCUUCUCAUCAACCAACACUCCAAGCCCUUCUCCUCAGGGCAGCUGUCAGUCCAUUAUGCACCCAGCCUGUAUUUGUCCUGACACAGGUGCAGGACCUUACAUUUGGCUUUAUUGAACUUCAUGAGGUUUAUACUGGUCCACCUCUCAAGUGUGUCCAGGUCCCUCUGGAUGGCAUCCCUUCCCUCCAGUGUGUUGACUGCACCACACAACUUAGUGUCCUCAGCAAAUUUGCUGCGGAUGCACUAAAUCCCACUGUCCAUGUCACUGACAAAGAUGUUGAACAGCACCAAACCCGUCUUCAUUUGUGCACAUACUCUUGGUGCCACAUUUCAAAUAGCAAUAAUAGAUCCUGAAGGGUGAACUGAUUUUUUUUUGCUGGAUGUGAACUCCAAACUCACUAGCCAAAGAUGUUUGGUCUCCUUUACAUGCUGGCAGUGUUUUUUCAUCUAACAAUAUUUAGUCUGUAGCUUAGUAAGUCACUAACAAAUCAAAAUAUAAACAAAUAUAUUGAAUUAACAUUUACUUCUACAUUGCUUAUUUCUCAUGCUUUCUCAUUUGCACAGUUAUAGGGAAACAGCUUGAUCCUUGUGAAUGUGAACAGAAUAUUUUAAUUUUUACUAGAUAAAAACAUUUUAUAGUACAAAGAAUCUUUUAAAUAGUUUUAACUAAUACGCUUUUCCAACAACGACAUGUUCUUAAAGUAUUUGACAUUACAAAUCCAUAAACAAACAAAUCUGGUUUUAAACAGAUCAGAAAACUUGUUCUGAAUUACAUAAAAGUUGCUAUUUCUGGGUUCAUUGGUAUUCAUAGGAGAUUGAGGUUGUUUCUGAGGGAUAAAGGAAGGUGGAGGCUGCCUUUUUAUACAAUGUGACUGUAAUUUAGUUUCACAGACUAAUUUUGAUAAAAGAAGUGAAGGAGACUGAAAGGAAGGUGGAACUGAUAUAAUUUGGAAGACAGAAAAGUGGAGAAAAAAAAAUUUGAGGCAGAUUUGGUAGGUAAAAAGCAGAGGAGGGAGAGCCACUGAGUAAAACAUGGUUAAUUCUGCAAGAAUGACAUAUAUGUAUUGUAAUGUUUAAAAAGCCUCAUAUGUGAAUGAUCUAUUUCAGGAGGAGAGGGGAAUUCAUUUUAAGGUGCAGGGUAAUGCAAAAUAAAGUAGAUAAUGCACUAUAAUGCACACAUUUCCUGGUUUUCUGAGUUGCCACCUUCUGACUAAGCUUCAAAAAGAAAAUUACAGUAGUUUUCCUGUGAAGGCUUCAUUAUAUAUGACAAUAUAAGUCAUCAAAGAUUACAGUGACUGGAAUGAAAAUACAGACCGACAGUGGAGUUCUCCAGUGUACAGCAGAGCAAGUUUUGCAGCAGUCCUUAUCAAUCACUGAUACAUCUUGUAUGAGAGAUAAAAGAAGAAAAAAGAAACAGCUUCACCAAGUCAAAACAUCAAUAGUUUUAUCCUCUGAUUCUGAACCAAUUCCUACGGAGACAAGAUAACUUUUUCAAAGGACAAGAACCUUCCAACAUGCAGAAAAUCAAGCAAUCAUGUCACAAGGCCAGUGUGGAUGAAGAAGGAACACCUGGAUGAACUCAAAUGGGCCAAGGAAGCACAAAGAAGGCAGAAGCAGGAUCAGGCAACC